AAGUCGUAACAAGGUUUCCGUAGGUGAACAUGCGGAAGGAUCAUUAACACGUAUCCAAACGUUAAAACCCCCCAAGGAUAGCGCUUCUACGAUUCCUGUAGACCGUACACUCGGGCAGGAGCUUUGCCAAAGGGUCCCCAUGCCCCCUAAUAACCCCACAGUUUAAUGUGAAGCUCAAUGUAAUACAUUGGGGAAAAAAACCGAACAACUGUUAACAAUGGAUAUCUUGGUUCUC
This 235-nucleotide unclassified non-coding RNA is filed under the name fungal sp. RNAcentral describes it as "partial internal transcribed spacer region". The stretch from base 1 to 46 matches the Rfam family "Eukaryotic small subunit ribosomal RNA", at positions 1786 to 1831 of the family's 1831-position model. The record is from RNAcentral. Lineage: Eukaryota; Fungi.